Long non-coding RNA from Anthonomus grandis grandis, 842 nucleotides. RefSeq lists it as uncharacterized. The record is from RefSeq and is a predicted model, not a curated record. The transcript is spliced from 2 exons. NCBI's taxonomy places the organism in Eukaryota, Metazoa, Arthropoda, Insecta, Coleoptera, Curculionidae.
AGUAUUUUAGCGUGUUGCUGUAUCUCCUGCUAAUAUCCAUUUAUCCUGCUCCAUAACAAUGGUUCUUAUACUCAAAAAUUCAGAAAUCACAAAAAGAGAAAAUCUUUCUUUUCAAUUCCCUUUCAUAAUUAAAUUACAUAAGUAUGAUUAUAGAGUUGGUAAUGCUACUUGAAAGAUACCCUGUAUGUUGCAAUGAUAAUGCAAAUUUACGUUAUUCACUAUAUUUUUAGAAUAGGUCCAUUAGUAUAAGCCGCCUUUUGAAGAAUAAAAAUAUAUACGUUCAGUAAUCUAUAGGUCAGUGGUGCGUGCCGUGCACGUGGCCACUGUUGGCCACGUGCCAUCCCGUCGACGCGUAACCAAAUUAUCUCACAAACGCGUGCUAGAUAACAGAGGGUAGGUGAAAUAAUUGGCAUGUGAACCAAUUGCGCAAUUUUAAACAAUAAUAUUCCGCGUGUGAAUAAUUUAGUGCCCUAUUUAAACUUUUCUAACUAAAACUAAAGAAAGGAUCAGGGUCAACAACAGGAGUAAUACCAAAGAGCCUGAUAGAAAACAUGAAACUGCUCAACCGUAAGGAAAGCAUCUAUAAGCUAAUGCAGAAGUCGACGCUGUUAUCCACAUCUCGAAUCGUCAUAAAGUUCAUUGGAAACGCAGAUAACAUCAACUAGUUUAAAAAACACAUCAUUUAGGAUAUCCAGAUAACUUUAUAUAGCCUAUAUAACGGGAACAAUUAACUUUUACGAACGCUUUGAAAAAUAGUUUUAUAAAUUUUAUGUUUAUAUAUAAUAGUUUUAUAAAUUUUAUAUUUUAUGUAUAUGUAACUAAAAUACAUUUUAUUUUAUGUA